GGCCGGUCGGACCGGUCCGGCCGGGAACCGUAAUACACACCGAGCCGGUUCACUAUGUAAAACCGUUUCUGCAGCAAGCCGGCGGUCGGGCCGGCCGGUUACGUGCAAUCAGGUCAGACGGGUUAUGUUUAAUUUUUUUUAAUUGAUGGAAAUAUAACAAUAACAAAACCUAAUCAGGUUCUUUUCUUUCUGUACGCCUCCAUAGUCCAUCCAGUUCUUUUCUUCUGUACGCAGCUUCUUCAGGUUCUGAAUCCAAGCAUCAUCGAUCGAUCUCUCAUCCUUCCAAGCCUCAUCAGUCAUCGAUCUCGUCUCAUCCUUCCAUCUCGGUCUCGAUUCCUUUCAGGUUCGAAUGCUCGAUUCUGUUAAAUCUUGGUUUGAUUAAUCUCAGUGUAAUGUGUUUGAUAAUUAGUUCAGUUGAUUCUCAGUGUUAAUUAAUCUCGGUCUCGAUUCUCUGUACAGUUGAUUGUUGUAUGCAUUUUCUCGAUUCUUGAUUGUUGUGUUUGAUAAUUGAUAGAUUUGUGUUUAAAAGUGACAAAUUUCUCGAUUCAGUUUCUGUUAAAGACUUAAAUCACUCGGUUCUUGCAGGAUUUGUGUUUGAUACUUGAUACUUGAUAGUUAAUUGAAGUGAAUUUGACAGUGAUGUUAUAUAAAUAUUAAUGAUUUUCACCGUACAGUUUGUUUCCACAAACGAAUGAUUUUCACCUUGAGUUUGUAG
This 715-nucleotide long non-coding RNA is filed under the name Helianthus annuus (common sunflower). Its description in RNAcentral is "sRNA HanXRQr2_Chr11g0514571". The record is from RNAcentral. Lineage: Eukaryota; Viridiplantae; Streptophyta; Magnoliopsida; Asterales; Asteraceae.